RNAcentral lists this ribosomal RNA (497 nucleotides) under uncultured bacterium. RNAcentral describes it as "partial 16S ribosomal RNA". It matches the Rfam family "Bacterial small subunit ribosomal RNA", at positions 28 to 507 of the family's 1533-position model. The record is from RNAcentral.
GACGAACGCUGGCGGCGUGCCUAAUACAUGCAAGUUGAGCGCUGAAGGUUGGUACUUGUACCAACUGGAUGAGCAGCGAACGGGUGAGUAACGCGUGGGGAAUCUGCCUUUGAGCGGGGGACAACAUUUGGAAACGAAUGCUAAUACCGCAUAAAAACUUUAAACACAAGUUUUAAGUUUGAAAGAUGCAAUUGCAUCACUCAAAGAUGAUCCCGCGUUGUAUUAGCUAGUUGGUGAGGUAAAGGCUCACCAAGGCGAUGAUACAUAGCCGACCUGAGAGGGUGAUCGGCCACAUUGGGACUGAGACACGGCCCAAACUCCUACGGGAGGCAGCAGUAGGGAAUCUUCGGCAAUGGACGAAAGUCUGACCGAGCAACGCCGCGUGAGUGAAGAAGGUUUUCGGAUCGUAAAACCCUGUUGGUAGAGAAGAACGUUGGUGAGAGUGGAAAGCUCAUCAAGUGACGGUAACUACCCAGAAAGGGGCGGCUAACUACGUG